RNAcentral lists this ribosomal RNA (124 nucleotides) under uncultured Hebeloma. RNAcentral's name for it is "partial 28S ribosomal RNA". It matches the Rfam family "Eukaryotic large subunit ribosomal RNA", at positions 1 to 130 of the family's 3401-position model. The record is from RNAcentral. Lineage: Eukaryota; Fungi; Basidiomycota; Agaricomycetes; Agaricales; Cortinariaceae.
UUGACCUCAAUCAGGUAGGACUACCCGCUGAACUUAAGCAUAUCAAUAAGCGGAGGAAAAGAACUAACAAGGAUCCCCUAGUACUGCGAGUGAGCGGAAAGCUCAAUUAAAUCUGGCGGCYCGC